Molecule: ribosomal RNA, 340 nt
Filed under: uncultured bacterium
Lineage: Bacteria
Description: bacterial SSU rRNA
Rfam family: Bacterial small subunit ribosomal RNA
Source: RNAcentral
AAUCAACGCUGGCGGCGUGCCUCAGACAUACAAGUCGAACGCGAAAGUUUCCUUCGGGGAACAAGUAGAGUGGCGCACGGGUGAGUAACACGUAGGUAAUCUACCUUUGGAUGGGGAAUAACAACCGGAAACGGUUGCUAAUACCGCAUAAUGCAGCGGCACCUAAUGGUGACAGUUGUUAAAGCGGGGGAUCGAAAGACCUCGCGUCUAAAGAGGAGCCUGCGGCGGAUUAGCUAGUUGGUAAGGAACGGCUUACCAAGGCCACGAUCCGUAACCGGCCUGAGAGGGCGGUCGGUCACACUGACACUGACAUACGGGUCAGACUCCUACGGGAGGCAGC